RNAcentral lists this ribosomal RNA (459 nucleotides) under uncultured Desulfuromonas sp. Its description in RNAcentral is "bacterial SSU rRNA". It matches the Rfam family "Bacterial small subunit ribosomal RNA", at positions 925 to 1382 of the family's 1533-position model. The record is from RNAcentral. Lineage: Bacteria; Pseudomonadati; Thermodesulfobacteriota; Desulfuromonadia; Desulfuromonadales; Desulfuromonadaceae.
AUAAGCGGUGGAGCAUGUGGUUUAAUUCGAUGCAACGCGAAGAACCUUACCUGGGCUUGACAUCCCGAUCGCACCUUAUGGAAACAUAGGGGUCAGUUCGGCUGGAUCGGUGACAGGUGCUGCAUGGCUGUCGUCAGCUCGUGUCGUGAGAUGUUGGGUUAAGUCCCGCAACGAGCGCAACCCUUGUCCUUAGUUGCCAGCAUUCAGUUGGGCACUCUAAGGAGACUGCCGGUGUCAAACCGGAGGAAGGUGGGGAUGACGUCAAGUCCUCAUGGCCCUUAUGUCCAGGGCUACACACGUGCUACAAUGGCCGGUACAAAGGGGCGCAAGACCGCGAGGUGGAGCAAAUCCCAAAAAACCGGUCUCAGUUCGGAUUGGAGUCUGCAACUCGACUCCAUGAAGUUGGAAUCGCUAGUAAUCGCGUAUCAGCAUGACGCGGUGAAUACGUUCCCGGGCCUU